This 268-nucleotide unclassified non-coding RNA is filed under the name plant metagenome. RNAcentral's name for it is "partial contains small subunit ribosomal RNA, internal transcribed spacer 1, and 5.8S ribosomal RNA". The record is from RNAcentral.
CGUAGGUGAACCUGCGGAAGGAUCAUUAAUGAGUUGUCAUGGGGUUCGAUGCUGGCAGCCAGUUUUUGGAUGCAUGUGCUUGCACUAACAAUCAUCUUCUUCCAAACACCUGUGCACAUUUUUGAGGGAGUCUUGAGUUGGUUGCCGCUCUUGGGUGAUUUUCUCACAUUCCCUUAAAUCAUUAUACGCUAUUAACAAUGUUGAACGUGCUCUGUGCCGCAAGGCCAUUAAUAUAAUACAACUUUUAACAACGGAUCUCUUGGCUCUC